Mus caroli (Ryukyu mouse) is the source of this 198-nucleotide long non-coding RNA. RefSeq lists it as uncharacterized. The record is from RefSeq and is a predicted model, not a curated record. NCBI's taxonomy places the organism in Eukaryota, Metazoa, Chordata, Mammalia, Rodentia, Muridae.
CUCGUCUGAGUCGGAAGGUUCGAGGGUCUGACUCCGGAAGCCUCUGAAGAUCUAGUCUAAGAGAAAAGAGGAAGGCUGUGGGCUGCGACAUGUCUUGGGGCCACAAUGGACUUGUACAUACAAUGACCAGCCCCAAGGGCACAUGGCAUCAUUCUGCUUGCUUGCUUGUCAUUGUUUGCCGUCUGCACGGCCUGGAGG